Molecule: long non-coding RNA, 1038 nt
Organism: Anopheles coustani
Lineage: Eukaryota; Metazoa; Arthropoda; Insecta; Diptera; Culicidae
Exons: 4
Source: RefSeq, a predicted model, not a curated record
CCGAAAAAGCUGUCAAGAAUAGGAAACAACAAAAUUAUUCUCAAAACUAACUUGCUAAAUAGUUGCUGGGCGUAGCUGAUUUUCCGUGUUCAACAAAAUGUGUAAAUGUAUCGCUGGAACUUGCGUCUGCUGCUGCUGCCAGUGCGCAAUGAGCAUUUUCAUUUCAUUGCUGUUCGUUUUCAUAUUGAUAGCAGUAGCAGUCUCCGUGGCAAUCUACUUUGGCUUAUUCAACGUGGACGAAACGGCACCAGGCGUGUCUGAUCUAGUCCACAAAACAGGCAACUCUAUCAGAGAUACUAUCAAGGAAAAACUGAACUAACAGAAUCCAGAAAGUAACAACGAACAUCAUUUACAUCACGCCUAUAAGAUUCUCAUUAAAAAUUAUUGAACACAUAUGCCAAACUAAAUAAGGUAAAAUACCAACCAGGGAAACCACGACGUUUUUAAACGUUCUAAGUGUAUAAGCGUAUGCUGCAAUCGUACAAAACACAAGUGCUUUAGUCGUCUACGUUAUUAAAUGGGAGUCAUACUAAAUUGAACCUGGACACCUCACCGCAUCCAUUAAACAAAAACAGCGUCACCAUACAAGCUGCAUAACCUUUGCCAUUGCCAUAGCGGUAGCGAUAUACUAUGGCGUGAUUCACGUUGACGAGUCUGCGUCGGAUGCAAUCAAAGACGCUGGAUCGAAAAUAAAGCAUUCCAUAAAAGAUGGCUUGAAAAAGCUCGAUGACGAUUAAUUUCAUUCACGAAUAGAGAAGCCCCCCUAAUAUGUAAGUCAGAUACCUACUGAAAUUCAACCGAAAACGACGUCUACAAUAAACCAAUGUACCGACCAACAACUAUUGCUCCAAAUAUAAACUACACUCAUGAAAUAAAAAAUGAUGAAUAUUCCCCACUGCAGUACUCCACUAUGCAUUGAUAUGUAACGAAUCUCAUAAAUCGUUAAUUCAUAAGGGGAUGAAGCUUUUUAUAUCAAUUUUUUUACCUACUGAAGUUUAAAUAAAAAUAUGAUAUAGUGCUCAAUCCCGGGUUUCCUUG